GAACUGAAGACCAUCAUCGCCGGGAAUUAGUCAGGCCAGUGUCCUUCCAUAUUACUUUCUAAGGUACUUUUGGAUAAUUUCCUCCAUUGCUGAUAACCAGAUAUACGUAAGACUGGUAAGAAAAUAACACAAUUAUUCUAUUCAUUAAUAUUUUGAACAAAUUAAUUACUGAUUGCUAAACUUUAUUGAUUUUAGUUAUUGUAAUUAGUCAUAAUAAUUAUAAUAAUGUAAUAUAAAAUUGUAUGUUUCCCAAAUAAAAA
This 260-nucleotide unclassified non-coding RNA is filed under the name Melitaea cinxia (Glanville fritillary). RNAcentral describes it as "misc RNA ENSMCXG00005006121.1". The record is from RNAcentral. Lineage: Eukaryota; Metazoa; Arthropoda; Insecta; Lepidoptera; Nymphalidae.